AACCCAUGUUAAGGACAUUUUGGUAGGAGCUCCUUGAACCCGUCCCAUGUCUCAAAAAGAGACUCCAAUUCUAUUUGCACAAAAGAAUAUAUUUCAUUCCUAAGCUU
This is a small nucleolar RNA of Dioscorea cayenensis subsp. rotundata (Guinea yam), 107 nucleotides long. NCBI's taxonomy places the organism in Eukaryota, Viridiplantae, Streptophyta, Magnoliopsida, Dioscoreales, Dioscoreaceae. The record is from RefSeq and is a predicted model, not a curated record.